AUCCCAACGUGUGGACAUUGCCUUAACAAUUCCUUUAAUCUUUCCCAAGCAUAAAAUAAAUACUCAACAUAUUCUUGCCUAAAUUAAGUGAUUUCAUUUCUCAUCUU
Molecule: small nucleolar RNA, 107 nt
Organism: Vicia villosa (hairy vetch)
Lineage: Eukaryota; Viridiplantae; Streptophyta; Magnoliopsida; Fabales; Fabaceae
Source: RefSeq, a predicted model, not a curated record